GCUUCCGGCGGCCGCGCUGCGCGGCCGUGUUGGGCGGGAGGCCCGGGGAGAUGCGGUCGCCGGCGCUGCUGCGGCUCCUGGUGGGGCCGCUGCUGGUGUUACUGGUGCUGCUGGAGGCCGCCCGCUGCGGGGAGGCUGCGGCCCCAGGCCCCCGGGACGCCGCCACCGCUUCCCCGCGCCCAACGGAGGCGGCCGGCGGGGCUUCCACGCGGAGCAGCAGCAACAGCAGCAGCAGCAGUAGCCGCCUGGCCGAGGUGUCGGCGCCGCCCGAGCAGGGCCAGCCCAUGACCCAGCGCGCCCUCUCCGUGCUGGUGCUGGCCAGCGCCGCCCUCAUCGUCUACUUCGUGAUCCGGACCGUGCGGCUCAGAAGGCAAAAUAGAAAAACCCGAAGAUACGGAGUUCUGGAUACGAACAUAGAAAACAUGGAGUUGACUCCGUUAGAACAAGAUGAUGAUGAUGAUGAUACAACACUAUUUGAUGCCAGCCAUCCUCGAAGUUGGAGAAGGGAUGUCAAGAUCACUUGAAUUUUAAAUGGGCAAGAAUUUAGUGGUCAAGAAGAUAAACACCAUUUGUCUUCAACAUGUGAGUUCCAGAGAAAUGAAGAGGAAGAGAAGUACGUGCCUUUCAAUGAAAGAACUUAAUCUUAGAACCAGAGAAGAAGACUGCUUUAUGGGAGAAAUAAGAAGCAAGAGGGUAUGCAAGUGGGGGGAAACUAAUUUAAUUUGUGUAUUUUAUGGCAUCCUUUUGCAUCUUGCAAUAAGUAAUUAUCAAUUUGUUGUAUCUUUUUGUAUAUAGAGAUUCUCAUUGUAUAACCUAUGGGGAGAGAAUACUAACUGUGAUAAGAUAAAAACCUAUUUAAAAGGGAGAUUACUUGUAAAACAGGGUAUUUUUUGCUUGUUACAAGUCUUGUAUGCCAUUACAAGUGUGGUAUACACUUUUUUUUCUACAGUAACCUGGAAUGUUAAUUUUUUCUUCUGAUAUUAAAUUGUAAGUAAAUAAAGCCACUGUGGACUUCUCAGAAUUGUUAGAACAUUAUUUUAAUUGAGGAGAUGACAUAUUGUUUACCAAUAAAAAGCCAAACCACUGUCUUCUGUGUUGAGAAUUAAAAAAGCUGAAUUAACAUGUUUUGUUCAUGUAAACUUCAGUGAAAAAAUAAAAUGUGUUUACAGUG
Passer domesticus (house sparrow) is the source of this 1171-nucleotide RNA transcript. It is a transcript of the gene named family with sequence similarity 174 member A, with no coding region annotated. Lineage: Eukaryota; Metazoa; Chordata; Aves; Passeriformes; Passeridae. The record is from RefSeq and is a predicted model, not a curated record. The transcript has 4 exons.